Molecule: non-coding RNA, 344 nt
Organism: Pelodiscus sinensis (Chinese soft-shelled turtle)
Lineage: Eukaryota; Metazoa; Chordata; Testudines; Trionychidae
Source: RefSeq, a predicted model, not a curated record
GUCGCGGCAACGACAGCUGGCCGGGCCGAGCUGAGGAAGGAUGCGUGUGCAAAGGAGUUUGAGGCCUUGAAGGAGUGCUUCACAAAGGCAGCGAAGAGGACAAGGAGGUGAAAGCACUGGGAACAAUUCAGGGGACUGGAGCUUAGAUGUACAGUUUCUUGCUGGUGGCUGUGCAGCUGUAAUCAGGUAGUUCCACAACAUGAGGACCCACAUAAUGUAUAAUUGUUAAAUCAGAAGGCACCAGGAGUUUAAUCAUCAAAUAAUCAAGCUCCUCCCCAAGGUCUUUCCCACCAUGCAUGUAAAUACAUUUUCAGAAACUUUGUAAAUAAAACUCCAAAAUGGGA